CAGGCCUAACACAUGCAAGUCGAGCGGAAACGAGUUAUCUGAACCUUCGAGGAACGAUAACGGCGUCGAGCGGCGGACGGGUGAGUAAUGCCUAGGAAAUUGCCCUGAUGUGGGGGAUAACCAUUGGAAACGAUGGCUAAUACCGCAUAAUGCCUACGGGCCAAAGAGGGGGACCUUCGGGCCUCUCGCGUCAGGAUAUGCCUAGGUGGGAUUAGCUAGUUGGUGAGGUAAUGGCUCACCAAGGCGACGAUCCCUAGCUGGUCUGAGAGGAUGAUCAGCCACACUGGAACUGAGACACGGUCCAGACUCCUACGGGAGGCAGCAGUGGGGAAUAUUGCACAAUGGGCGCAAGCCUGAUGCAGCCAUGCCGCGUGUGUGAAGAAGGCCUUCGGGUUGUAAAGCACUUUCAGUCGUGAGGAAGGUGGUGUAGUUAAUAGCUGCAUUAUUUGACGUUAGCGACAGAAGAAGCACCGGCUAACUCCGUGCCAGCAGCCGCGGUAAUACGGAGGGUGCGAGCGUUAAUCGGAAUUACUGGGCGUAAAGCGCAUGCAGGUGGUUUGUUAAGUCAGAUGUGAAAGCCCGGGGCUCAACCUCGGAAUAGCAUUUGAAACUGGCAGACUAGAGUACUGUAGAGGGGGGUAGAAUUUCA
RNAcentral lists this ribosomal RNA (649 nucleotides) under uncultured bacterium. Its description in RNAcentral is "bacterial SSU rRNA". It matches the Rfam family "Bacterial small subunit ribosomal RNA", at positions 43 to 671 of the family's 1533-position model. The record is from RNAcentral.